UAGAUUGUCUUUCAAAUACAGGUUUCUUGUCAGCAAGUCUUCAUUUUGCACCUAUUCCAGAUUUUCUUGUUUAGGGUCAAGGGUGUCUAUCAAAAUUAUAAUCAGGAGAAAUUGAAUGCAACUUUGGACCUAAAACCUUUGCUAAAGACAUCAAGGGAGAACUUUUUUCCCAAGAAAACAAAAUAUUCAAGAAGAUGAAUUACCGUAAGCCAAAAAGAAAUUGUCACGCAGAAAAGUCCCAAGGACUCCGCAGUUUAAGUAAAAUAAAUGGUAGCUAAAAUCUCAAAACUACUUUACUCCAAAGUAUGUUUAAGUUCAAUCAAUAUCUAAAAUUUAAAAUAAAUAAAAAAUGAAUCCAUAGAUCAAGGACAAUAUUUUUGUUAAGCCCUCCCCC
Molecule: long non-coding RNA, 394 nt
Filed under: Mytilus galloprovincialis (Mediterranean mussel)
Lineage: Eukaryota; Metazoa; Mollusca; Bivalvia; Mytilida; Mytilidae
Source: RNAcentral